Non-coding RNA from Osmia lignaria (orchard mason bee), 1718 nucleotides. The record is from RefSeq and is a predicted model, not a curated record. Lineage: Eukaryota; Metazoa; Arthropoda; Insecta; Hymenoptera; Megachilidae.
CAGAUUUCCUUAAGAACACGAAAAUAAUAGGAACGACGAGGCACAAUGGGAAGCCCGACGUACUGCCGGAAAAUCUUUUACAGACUGUAAUUUUUAUUUAACACGACUUUCUUCCUUCUUUUUCUCUCGGAAAGUUGUUCCUUAUCGCGUGAAAGAACGACGAAACAUUGGAGGGAUUGUGCCACCCUUCGGGCGUCUCAUUUCUCUCGCGAAACUUUUAGUCGCCGGCAAAAUGUUUUGUUAGUGCUACCGAAAUUUCAUUAAAACCGUGAAGUGUAUAUAAGAUACAAAGAAGAAAUUACUUUUCUAAUUUCAAGGAACUUAAUGUAACGGAAAUUAACGCGGAAAUUGUGGGGUGGAAACGCAAGCUUCCCAGUUUCUUGUUAAAAUAUGCAGGUUAAGUGUCAUCGUAUUAACCAAGAUUUUCUGAGUGAACUCUCAAACACUACACAACGCCCUAUCGUACAAUAUUCACGACUUUGUCCAUAAGGGACCGUGUUGUGGCUUCAACUACACCUAUGGCAUCGCUCUGAGAACUCUGUAACAGUGUUGAACAUCUAAACAACAUGUAGUCCAGAUCAUACAUUUACGAAAUGCUGUCGUGAACAUUCAUGAUCCUACAAAAUAGGCCUUGAACAACGGAACCUGGAUCAAUCGUGACCCAAAUUUACGAAAUCUAAAUCUACCUACAUUUUGAAAGAAUAAUUUUUAAAGGGACGAUGUGGAAUUUAGAAAAUUCAAAUAAUAUAAGGUACUGAAUUAAAUUAAAAUUAUGGCUCUCUCCAUGGUCCGCUGAUCGAGGGUUAAAUAAAAAGACCUCAACUCUGCUACAAACUUCUCUAUCGGAAACUGUAACUGCUGCCGUUUGCAUACAGCAACAAACACUUGACGGAAAUUUCUUUGCUCGGAAAGUUUAUUUUACGUUCAAAAGCAAAGUAUCGGCUCUUAAUAUUAUAUACAAGCCCAGAAGCAUCGAAACUUGCCUGAAGGAAGCCACGUUUUUCGUGUUCUUCGUUUCCCCGACUUAUCGUUCCCUCUGUCACUUGAGCAAACGGAAAUUAUAUCUUUACCAAUGUAACCGUAAAAGGCGAUGCAACAGUAUUUCUUUUCUGAAUUUUCCUUUUCCAGACAGUGGAAAAUAAACUUUCCUUCGGCUUAUCAAAUAGAUUGAAUUCACUUUAGCGGUUUGUAAAAACGAAUCAAACUACGUUAUAGCUAUAUUAUUUUUGUGCUAUUUCAUGAAUGAACGAGUAGGUUGAAAGCAUGAGAUGAAGUUUCAUCUUUCAAGACUUUCUUCUUGCGAGAAUCAACUUCUAAAAUUUAUGUUAUGUAAUAAAUAUGACAGCGAAUUCGAUAGAGAAAACACUUUCAACAAUGUUUUAAAAUAAAUAAAAUGUAUUAACACCAUCUUUAUCUUAUAUUUUAUUUUUAUUAAGUGCUAUCUGAUCACGAGCCUUAAUUUUUCUAAUCAUUUGAUUGCGAAUAAAUUUAAUUUCAGUUUCAAUUUCAUUUACGCGACGCAUGUGAUCGCACGAGAAGAGAAAAAAGGAAUCAACGAAUCUAAAUCCGUGAAAUGUUCCCGAUGCUUCGUUAACAUGGGUGCAACUAACCCUGAGCUAACACGAUUUCCCCUGUUUAUUUAGUUUCCUAGUUGCAUUUCCUCUUCUUUUUUCUUUUUUAUUUAAAUUGUCAUUCAGUGCAGUUAUUGGAGAUCCAAG